UCCGAGUUGACCCCGGCAGUCUCCCAUGAGUCCCCGGCAUAACCCGCUGGCAACAUGGAACGAGGGUUGCGCUCGUUGCGGGACUUAACCCAACAUCUCACGACACGAGCUGACGACAGCCAUGCAGCACCUGUGUCCAGGUCCCGUAAGGGAAGGAAUCCAUCUCUGGAAGCCGUCCUACCAUGUCAAACGCUGGUAAGGUUCUUCGCGUUGCAUCGAAUUAAACCACAUGCUCCACCGCUUGUGCGGGUCCCCGUCAAUUCAUUUGAGUUUCAACCUUGCGGCCGUACUCCCCAGGCGGAGAACUUAACGCGUUAGCUACGACACCGAAGGGCAGACCCCUCCGACAUCCAGUUCUCAUCGUUUAUGGCGUGGACUAC
This 380-nucleotide unclassified non-coding RNA is filed under the name uncultured Gammaproteobacteria bacterium. Its description in RNAcentral is "contains 16S-23S intergenic spacer region". Lineage: Bacteria; Pseudomonadati; Pseudomonadota; Gammaproteobacteria. The record is from RNAcentral.